RNAcentral lists this ribosomal RNA (492 nucleotides) under uncultured bacterium. RNAcentral's name for it is "partial 16S ribosomal RNA". It matches the Rfam family "Bacterial small subunit ribosomal RNA", at positions 29 to 507 of the family's 1533-position model. The record is from RNAcentral.
AGUGAACGCUGGCGGUAGGCCUAACACAUGCAAGUCGAACGGCAGCACAGUAAGAGCUUGCUCUUACGGGUGGCGAGUGGCGGACGGGUGAGGAAUACAUCGGAAUCUACUUUUUCGUGGGGGAUAACGUAGGGAAACUUACGCUAAUACCGCAUACGACCUACGGGUGAAAGCAGGGGAUCUUCGGACCUUGCGCGAUUGAAUGAGCCGAUGUCGGAUUAGCUAGUUGGCGGGGUAAAGGCCCACCAAGGCGACGAUCCGUAGCUGGUCUGAGAGGAUGAUCAGCCACACUGGAACUGAGACACGGUCCAGACUCCUACGGGAGGCAGCAGUGGGGAAUAUUGGACAAUGGGCGAAAGCCUGAUCCAGCCAUACCGCGUGGGUGAAGAAGGCCUUCGGGUUGUAAAGCCCUUUUGUUGGGAAAGAAAAGCAGCAGGUUGAUACCCCGCUGUUCUGACGGUACCCAAAGAAUAAGCACCGGCUAACUUCGUG